This 147-nucleotide ribosomal RNA is filed under the name Cystobasidium minutum. RNAcentral's name for it is "partial 18S rRNA". It matches the Rfam family "Eukaryotic small subunit ribosomal RNA", at positions 1685 to 1831 of the family's 1831-position model. The record is from RNAcentral. Lineage: Eukaryota; Fungi; Basidiomycota; Cystobasidiomycetes; Cystobasidiales; Cystobasidiaceae.
CCGAUUAAUGGCUUAGUGAGGCCUUCGGAUUGGCUUCUGGGAGCUGGCAACGGCACCUAGUCGCUGAGAAGUUUGACGAACUUGGUCAUUUAGAGGAAGUAAAAGUCGUAACAAGGUUUCCGUAGGUGAACUGCGGAAGGAUCAUUA